RNAcentral lists this ribosomal RNA (498 nucleotides) under uncultured bacterium. RNAcentral describes it as "partial 16S ribosomal RNA". It matches the Rfam family "Bacterial small subunit ribosomal RNA", at positions 27 to 507 of the family's 1533-position model. The record is from RNAcentral.
GGAUGAACGCUGGCGGCGUGCCUAAUACAUGCAAGUCGAGCGAACAGAUAAGGAGCUUGCUCCUUUGACGUUCGCGGCGGACGGGUGAGUAACACGUGGGUAACCUACCUAUAAGACUGGGAUAACUUCGGGAAACCGGAGCUAAUACCGGAUAAUAUUUCGAACCGCAUGGUUCGAUAGUGAAAGAUGGUUUUGCUAUCACUUAUAGAUGGACCCGCGCCGUAUUAGCUAGUUGGUAAGGUAACGGCUUACCAAGGCGACGAUACGUAGCCGACCUGAGAGGGUGAUCGGCCACACUGGAACUGAGACACGGUCCAGACUCCUACGGGAGGCAGCAGUAGGGAAUCUUCCGCAAUGGGCGAAAGCCUGACGGAGCAACGCCGCGUGAGUGAUGAAGGUCUUCGGAUCGUAAAACUCUGUUAUUAGGGAAGAACAUACGUGUAAGUAACUGUGCACGUCUUGACGGUACCUAAUCAGAAAGCCACGGCUAACUACGUG